GGAAUAUUGGACAAUGGGGGAAACCCUGAUCCAGCGACGCCGCGUGGGUGAAGAAGGCCUGCGGGUUGUAAAGCCCUUUCGGUGGGGAAGAAAAGCCUCGACCUAAUACGUCGGGGUCUUUACGUAACCCACAAAAGAAGCACCGGCUAACUCUGUUCCAGCAGCCGCGGUAAUACAGAGGGUGCGAGCGUUAAUCGGAAUUACUGGGCGUAAAGCGCACGUAGGCGGUUUGUUAAGCAAGAUGUGAAAGCCCAGGGCUCAACCUUGGAAUAGCAUUUUGAACUGGCAGACUAGAGUUUUGAAGAGGGUGGUAGAAUUUCCAGUGUAGCGGUGAAAUGCGUAGAUAUUGGAAGGAAUACCAGUGGCGAAGGCGGCCACCUGGUCAAAAACUGACGCUGAGGAGCGAAAGCGUGGGGAGCA
This 420-nucleotide ribosomal RNA is filed under the name uncultured bacterium. RNAcentral describes it as "bacterial SSU rRNA". It matches the Rfam family "Bacterial small subunit ribosomal RNA", at positions 358 to 770 of the family's 1533-position model. The record is from RNAcentral.